GUAAGAUUUCCCUGUCAUUAGUGUUCCGGCCCCCCGCUGAACCACAGAGCGAUGUGGAGGGGACCGGAAUGAGAGGACUCACGAUUAAGAAGCAGGACCGCUGAUAGCACGGAGGGUUCUGCCGGACCGCCGGUAGCACUGGGGAUACAGCAGGACCGCCGGUAGCACGGAGGAUUCAGCCGUGCAGCUGAUACACGAGACGCCCGGACCGGAAAUGACGCAAACGUGAAGACUCGCGAACCGGAAGUAGAACAAGG
Pelobates cultripes (western spadefoot toad) is the source of this 257-nucleotide non-coding RNA. The record is from the annotation of a GenBank genome assembly. NCBI's taxonomy places the organism in Eukaryota, Metazoa, Chordata, Amphibia, Anura, Pelobatidae.